UCCAAAUCCAUACUCAAUAUGUUUCAACAACCCAAAGGCUGUGAUUUCUUCAUCAGAAAUCUCAAAAUAAUUUCAUGAAUAGAUAAAUAUUAUAUACUUGUACGAGUAUUUUGGAAAAAUUACAUCAGUAUGUGAUCCUAGAUAAGAUAUCAAAUAGGUAAUAAAUCAAACAGAUAAGGUGGAUAUUUAAAUUUUGAGUGUUCAGUUUUCAUCUCAAAAUCAUCAUUACCUUUGACAGAUAUUUAAUCAAUAAAUUGUAAUUUGAUUCAAUGAAGGCAUUUGGUAUUCAUUCUGGGUAUGUUCAAGAUAAUUUCCAAUGUAAAAAGUGUAGGUGUAUGAAGCUACCUGUGUGUUUGUUUUGUACCAUAAAUUUACCUGGAUAAUGAAAAGCAACCUAUUAGUUGUUUUAAUUUUGGUCAAAUAUGCCACAUCUAAUGGUGGGAGUGGGACACUUGACAACUCUUAUGAAAAUCUUGAUAUGAUUGAAAAAUUAGCAUGGAGAUCAAUAGGAUACUUGAAAACGCCUGAAGAUUGGCAUCAGGCAUUUGUCAAACUAGCCAAACACUACAAAGAAGACAUCAAACGUUAUAUAAAUGAAAGUCACGUGAAUGAAGCUCAAUAUAAAGAAAGCAUGGAACGAUGUAAAAAUGAAAGUUGUGUGAAUGAAGCUCUAUAUUAUAAAGAAGACAACAAACAAUUUAAAAACGAAUCUCAUAAUAUAAAUAAAAGGGAAAAUAUGAAACACCAAUUGAUCCUAAAGUUCUGUACACAACUGCUGGAAGAUGCAGAAUGGUAUUUUAAUUUAGAACACGUCUUUCCCAGUGAAGAUGAAAUGUUUACAGAUUUGCAAAAUAAUGCCUCCACAUAUACUGAUACAAUUACUCGCGACUGUUUAAUGAAAAUGAAGAAUUUGACUAAUUACAAGACGUGUAUUAAUGAGCACACCAUUAAAUGGCUGCAUUUCCUCGCAUUUUCUAAAAGAAGAUUGGCUACCGGGCUCCGGAAUAAACUUCUGGAAAGAAGUAUUGAUGCAUUUGAAUUUUGUUUAUUGGUGGGAAGAAUUUUCUCGUGCACGAGGAGUGUUGUUUAUUACUCAUAUAGUCCAAUAAAAGAUCUCAAUCCUGAAAUUGUUCAAGAAGUAUUGGUAAAUUUUGGAAUUGAGGGCUCUACAGUAUUGGAGGCAGUGAAGGUUUUGCUAGCAAUUGGAAACAUGACAAUAAUAUAUCAUGAUAAUAAUUGAAGAAUUCCACUUGUGAAACUUAUACUGGGAGUUCAUGAUGAAGGUACGAGUACAUAAUGUACAUAUAAAUAAAGCAGUGAUGAUUCUGAUUUUCAAGAUUGAGCUCAAAAGCAGUUGAAACUCCCAAGAAAAAGUUCAGAUGAACAAUUUUGAUUUCUUGCCAAAAUUUUUAUAUUAGGAAUGAAAAUAUUUUAAGCCGAUUUUGAUACCUAUACUGUACUUUUUUCAAAAUGCCUGAAAAUUGUGAGCAAUUUUUUUAUCCUGAUUUUUUCGGAGAAGUUUUUCUACUUUUAAUCGAAUCCGUGUUUGUUAAGAAUAUCGUUAUCGAGAUUUUUGUUGUGGAAGAUUUAGAAUCAGCAGGUAAUUGGUGUUUAUGAAAAGUUGAAAUUUAAACAUUCCGGUAUUUCUAGAUAACAUGGUAUCAAAAUGAUUAACAGAUUGGCAACCGAGACUGUGAAAUUUUAAUGAAUUUUCAUCAUACCACACUGUGAGGAACAUUUGAUCAGUGGAUUCCAGUUAGAUAGGUUCGGACAUUUUCUUCUAGUUGGAUAUCUCUGAGAGUAGAAUACUCUUGCCUAUAACUUUCUGUUAAAAAGACAUCCAAGAUGGAUAGCAACAUUGCAGUAUUCUCUGCAUUUUUUGUUAUUUGUGGUAUCAUGUCAUGUUGUAUGCCACUAUCAGAACCCCAUAGUGACAGCAGUGAAAAGAAAUUGAUUCCCAUCUGUGUAAAAUACCAAGCGUUACAUAAAGUCCGCUCAAAGUUUCUGGAGGAUACAGAAUAUUAUUUUGAGUUAGAACACACCUUCCCUGAUAAAGACAAAAUGUUGGAAGAUUUGAAAAAUAAUGCCUCCGCACAUACUGAAAUAAUUUCUCAGGACUGUUUGACCAAGAUAAAGAAUUCACCGAACUCGAUUUAUGUGCAUGCCGUUAAAUGGCUGCAUUUCCUCGCAUUCUCUAGUGGACCUUUGGCUAACAGACUACGGAAUAUGCUUUUGGAAAAAAAAGUUGAAGUUUUUGGAUUUUGUUCACUAGUGGGAAAGAUUUUCAAUGAUGUCAGCAAUAUUGUUUUCUAUGGUCCAGUACCGAAACUCUGUCCUGAAAUUGUCCUGGAGGGAUUAGAGUAUUUUGGAAUUAAGGAGCAUGCAACAUUGGAGUCGGUGAAGAUUUUGGUAGAAAUUGGAAACAUGUCGACUGUGCAUCGUGAAGGAAACAUGACAACUAUGCAUUGCGAUAAUUGAAGUAUUCCAGUAAGGAACCAUAAAGUAGGAGCUUCAUGUAUGAUUCUGAUUUCAUUUAUUUUUUUAAAAUUAUGCCUAAGAAUUUUGAAUGAUUAUAGUUACUUCUGUUUUAUUAUUCAACAAUCAUUGUUUCAUUAGGUACUCUUUAGUUUUGUAAUAUUUUCACAUUUUUGUACUAUUUUUCUCAGUAUUCUGAUAUUUUCCCAUAAUUUUUUUUGAAUACUUGUUUGAAUUUUAAUAAUAUUUUCUAUAAUGA
This is a long non-coding RNA of Planococcus citri (citrus mealybug), 2734 nucleotides long. RefSeq lists it as uncharacterized. The transcript has 3 exons. NCBI's taxonomy places the organism in Eukaryota, Metazoa, Arthropoda, Insecta, Hemiptera, Pseudococcidae. The record is from RefSeq and is a predicted model, not a curated record.